CGGGGGGGGGCAAGCGUUGUUCGGAAUUACUGGGCGUAAAGGGGGGCGCGUAGGCGGUCCGAGAAGUUUCGGGUGAAAGCCCCCGGGCUCAACCCGGGAAGGUCCCGGAAAACCAUCGGACUUGAGUGCUGGAGAGGCAAGCGGAAUUUCUGGUGUAGCGGUGAAAUGCGUAGAUAUCAGAAGGAACAUCGGAGGCGAAGGCGGCUUGCUGGACAGCAACUGACGCUGAGGCGCGAAAGCCAGGGGAGCGAACGGGAUUAGAUACCCCGGUAGUCCUGGCCGUAAACGAUGGGUACUUGGUGUUGGCAGCGGGAAGGUUGUCAGUGUCGGCGAUAACUCGUUAAGUACCCCGCCUGGGGAGUACGAUCGCAAAGAUUG
This 378-nucleotide ribosomal RNA is filed under the name uncultured organism. Its description in RNAcentral is "partial 16S ribosomal RNA". It matches the Rfam family "Bacterial small subunit ribosomal RNA", at positions 525 to 896 of the family's 1533-position model. The record is from RNAcentral.